GUGGGGAAUAUUGGACAAUGGGGGGAACCCUGAUCCAGCCAUGCCGCGUGUGUGAAGAAGGCCUUUUGGUUGUAAAGCACUUUAAGCGAGGAGGAGGCUACCGAGAUUAAUACUCUUGGAUAGUGGACGUUACUCGCAGAAUAAGCACCGGCUAACUCUGUGCCAGCAGCCGCGGUAAUACAGAGGGUGCAAGCGUUAAUCGGAUUUACUGGGCGUAAAGCGCGCGUAGGUGGCCAAUUAAGUCAAAGGUGAAAUCCCCGAGCUUAACUUGGGAAUUGCAUUGUAUACUGGUUGGCUAGAGUAUGGUAGAGGAUGGUAGAAUUCCAGGUGUAGCGGUGACAUGCGGAGAGAUCUGGAGGAAUACCGAUGGCGAAGGCAGCCAUCUGGCCUAAUACUGACACUGAGGUGCGAAAGCAUGGGGAGCAAACAGGAUUAGAUACCCGAGUAGUCC
RNAcentral lists this ribosomal RNA (451 nucleotides) under uncultured bacterium. RNAcentral's name for it is "partial 16S ribosomal RNA". It matches the Rfam family "Bacterial small subunit ribosomal RNA", at positions 354 to 796 of the family's 1533-position model. The record is from RNAcentral.